AUUGAACGCUGGCGGCAUGCUUUACAUAUGCAAGUCGAACGGUAACAGGCCUUCGGGUGCUGACGAGUGGCGAACGGGUGAGUAAUGCAUCGGAACGUGCCCAGAGGUGGGGGAUAACGCAGCGAAAGCUGUGCUAAUACCGCAUGUGAUCUGAGGAUGAAAGCGGGGGACCAGGCAGCAAUGUUUGGCCUCGCGCCUUUGGAGCGGCCGAUGUCAGAUUAGGUAGUUGGUGGGGUAAAGGCCUACCAAGCCGACGAUCUGUAGCUGGUCUGAGAGGACGACCAGCCACACUGGGACUGAGACACGGCCCAGACUCCUACGGGAGGCAGCAGUGGGGAAUUUUGGACAAUGGGCGCAAGCCUGAUCCAGCAAUGCCGCGUGCGGGAAGAAGGCCUUCGGGUUGUAAACCGCUUUUGUACGGAACGAAAAGGCUCUGGCUAAUACCUGGGGCUGAUGACGGUACCGUAAGAAUAAGCACCGGCUAACUACGUG
This 492-nucleotide ribosomal RNA is filed under the name uncultured bacterium. RNAcentral's name for it is "partial 16S ribosomal RNA". It matches the Rfam family "Bacterial small subunit ribosomal RNA", at positions 30 to 507 of the family's 1533-position model. The record is from RNAcentral.